This is an RNA transcript of Vitis vinifera (wine grape), 400 nucleotides long. RefSeq lists it as uncharacterized. The transcript has 4 exons. NCBI's taxonomy places the organism in Eukaryota, Viridiplantae, Streptophyta, Magnoliopsida, Vitales, Vitaceae. The record is from RefSeq and is a predicted model, not a curated record.
UAUUAGGAACCAUUACGAGCACUAUGUGGUUAUCCUAAUCAUGUCAUGAAAACACGUUCAUCAAGGGAGAGGAAACCAAGUAAAUUCAAGGUCUCCCCGUUUGUACAGAAAUCAAGGAAGAUGGUAAAACGUGAAGCAUCAGAGUGAGCUUCUUGUUGACUUUGGUCAUGAACAUGGAGUUCGUGGAGAUUUUGCAUGCUUACGUCCUAGACAAAAUUUGAUGGAUGUUGUAAUAAAUUUAGAAGCCUCAAAGCUAAAUUAUUUUGAAAGACAAUUCAUAGGCAUACGAAGUAUAAGAUGCUAUCUUCCCACGACAUUUUCACAAAUGAUUUUGUGCGGGAGUCCUCAUCCUUUUUUCGAUAGAAAAACAUCCAUCGUUAGUAAGUACAUUAGUGAAUUG